CUGGCUCAGAUUGAACGCUGGCGGCAGGCCUAACACAUGCAAGUCGAGCGGUAGCACAGAGAGCUUGCUCUCGGGUGACGAGCGGCGGACGGGUGAGUAAUGUCUGGGAAACUGCCUGAUGGAGGGGGAUAACUACUGGAAACGGUAGCUAAUACCGCAUAACGUCGCAAGACCAAAGUGGGGGACCUUCGGGCCUCAUGCCAUCAGAUGUGCCCAGAUGGGAUUAGCUAGUAGGUGGGGUAACGGCUCACCUAGGCGACGAUCCCUAGCUGGUCUGAGAGGAUGACCAGCCACACUGGAACUGAGACACGGUCCAGACUCCUACGGGAGGCAGCAGUGGGGAAUAUUGCACAAUGGGCGCAAGCCUGAUGCAGCCAUGCCGCGUGUGUGAAGAAGGCCUUCGGGUUGUAAAGCACUUUCAGCGGGGAGGAAGGCGAUGAGGUUAAUAACCUCGUCGAUUGACGUUACCCGCAGAAGAAGCACCGGCUAACUCCGUGCCAGCAGCCGCGGUAAUACGGAGGGUGCAAGCGUUAAUCGGAAUUACUGGGCGUAAAGCGCACGCAGGCGGUCUGUCAAGUCGGAUGUGAAAUCCCCGGGCUCAACCUGGGAACUGCAUUCGAAACUGGCAGGCUAGAGUCUUGUAGAGGGGGGUAGAAUUCCAGGUGUAGCGGUGAAAUGCGUAGAGAUCUGGAGGAAUACCGGUGGCGAAGGCGGCCCCCUGGACAAAGACUGACGCUCAGGUGCGAAAGCGUGGGGAGCAAACAGGAUUAGAUACCCUGGUAGUCCACGCCGUAAACGAUGUCGAUUUGGAGGUUGUGCCCUUGAGGCGUGGCUUCCGGAGCUAACGCGUUAAAUCGACCGCCUGGGGAGUACGGCCGCAAGGUUAAAACUCAAAUGAAUUGACGGGGGCCCGCACAAGCGGUGGAGCAUGUGGUUUAAUUCGAUGCAACGCGAAGAACCUUACCUGGUCUUGACAUCCA
Molecule: ribosomal RNA, 980 nt
Filed under: Klebsiella pneumoniae
Lineage: Bacteria; Pseudomonadati; Pseudomonadota; Gammaproteobacteria; Enterobacterales; Enterobacteriaceae
Description: bacterial SSU rRNA
Rfam family: Bacterial small subunit ribosomal RNA
Source: RNAcentral